UCCAGCAAUGCCGCGUGUGUGAAGAAGGCCUUCGGGUUGUAAAGCACUUUUGUCCGGAAAGAAAUCGCUUCGGUUAAUACCUGGAGUGGAUGACGGUACCGGAAGAAUAAGGACCGGCUAACUACGUGCCAGCAGCCGCGGUAAUACGUAGGGUCCAAGCGUUAAUCGGAAUUACUGGGCGUAAAGCGUGCGCAGGCGGUUGUGCAAGACCGAUGUGAAAUCCCCGGGCUUAACCUGGGAAUUGCAUUGGUGACUGCACAGCUAGAGUGUGUCAGAGGGAGGUAGAAUUCCACGUGUAGCAGUGAAAUGCGUAGAGAUGUGGAGGAAUACCGAUGGCGAAGGCAGCCUCCUGGGAUAACACUGACGCUCAUGCACGAAAGCGUGGGGAGCAAACAGGAUUAGAUACCCUGGUAGUCCACGCCCUAAACGAUGUCAACUAGUUGUUGGGGAUUCAUUUCCUUAGUAACGUAGCUAACGCGUGAAGUUGACCGCCUGGGGAGUACGGUCGCAAGAUUAAAACUCAAAGGAAUUGACGGGGACCCGCACAAGCGGUGGAUG
This 558-nucleotide ribosomal RNA is filed under the name Ralstonia solanacearum. RNAcentral's name for it is "bacterial SSU rRNA". It matches the Rfam family "Bacterial small subunit ribosomal RNA", at positions 387 to 938 of the family's 1533-position model. The record is from RNAcentral. Lineage: Bacteria; Pseudomonadati; Pseudomonadota; Betaproteobacteria; Burkholderiales; Burkholderiaceae.